RNAcentral lists this ribosomal RNA (406 nucleotides) under uncultured bacterium. RNAcentral's name for it is "partial 16S ribosomal RNA". It matches the Rfam family "Bacterial small subunit ribosomal RNA", at positions 28 to 526 of the family's 1533-position model. The record is from RNAcentral.
GACGAACGCUGGCGGCGUGCCUAAUACAUGCAAGUCGAACGAGAGGCGGACGGGUGAGUAAUGUCUGGGAAACUGCCUGAUGGAGGGGGCUAACUACUGGAAACGGUAGCUAAUACCGCAUACCAUCAUAUGUGCCCAGAUGGGAUUAGCGAGUAGGUGGGGUAAUGGCUCACAUAGGCGACGAUCCGUAGCUGGUCUGAGAGGAUGACCAGCGACACUGGAACUGAGACACGGUCCAGACUCCUACGGGAGGCAGCAGGGGGGAAUAUUGCACAAUGGGCGCAAGCCUGAUGCAGCCAUGCCGCGUGUGUGAAGAAGGCAUUCGGGUUGUAAAGCUCUUUCAGCGAUGAGGCGUUACUCGCAGAAGAAGCACCGGCUAACUACGUGCCAGCAGCCGCGGUAAUUC